RNAcentral lists this ribosomal RNA (529 nucleotides) under fungal sp. NLR-2013. RNAcentral's name for it is "eukaryotic LSU rRNA". The stretch from base 166 to 319 matches the Rfam family "5.8S ribosomal RNA". The record is from RNAcentral. Lineage: Eukaryota; Fungi.
ACCUGCGGAGGGAUCAUUACUGAGUGAGGGCCUUCGGGCUCGACCUCCAACCCUUUGUGAACACAACUUGUUGCUUCGGGGGCGACCCUGCCGUUUCGACGGCGAGCGCCCCCGGAGGCCUUCAAACACUGCAUCUUUGCGUCGGAGUUUAAGUAAAUUAAACAAAACUUUCAACAACGGAUCUCUUGGUUCUGGCAUCGAUGAAGAACGCAGCGAAAUGCGAUAAGUAAUGUGAAUUGCAGAAUUCAGUGAAUCAUCGAAUCUUUGAACGCACAUUGCGCCCCUUGGUAUUCCGAGGGGCAUGCCUGUUCGAGCGUCAUUUCACCACUCAAGCCUGGCUUGGUAUUGGGCGCCGCGGUCAAUCCGCGCGCCUCAAAGUCUCCGGCUGAGCUGUCCGUCUCUAAGCGUUGUGAUUUCAUUAAUCGCUUCGGAGUGCGGGCGGCCGCGGCCGUUAAAUCUUUCAAAGGUUGACCUCGGAUCAGGUAGGGAUACCCGCUGAACUUAAGCAUAUCAAUAAGGCCGGAGGAAA